RNAcentral lists this ribosomal RNA (648 nucleotides) under Gambierdiscus australes. Its description in RNAcentral is "partial large subunit ribosomal RNA". It matches the Rfam family "Eukaryotic large subunit ribosomal RNA", at positions 141 to 737 of the family's 3401-position model. Lineage: Eukaryota; Dinophyceae; Gonyaulacales; Pyrocystaceae. The record is from RNAcentral.
ACAUGAAAUCUCUGAAUGCUCCACCAACAAAGGCUCAGGAAACAAAACCAUUCUGGAGGGGAUUGUGAAAGUGCCAACAGGGGUGAGAAUCCUGUGGUUCUUGCAGACCUUGUUCACGGUGUCUGCUUUCCAGAGUCAUGCUCCUUGGAACUGGAGUGCAAAGUGGGUGGUAGCUUCCACACAAAGGCAAACACACCACUGAGACUGACAGUGAAGAAGUACCGUGAGGGAAGUAUGAAAAGGACUUUGGAAAGAGAUUUAAAAGAGCCUGCACUUGCUGGACAACAAGCAUACAGAAUGAUCGUGUGAUUGGACAGAUUGCUGUGUGAAUACAGGUAACAAUCCUGUGCUGCAUGCGGAGAUUCUUUCUUGGUGUGCCAACUAGUGUGAGAGCAGUCAGUAUCUGUGGGCAGUGCUUGGGGUGUGUCUUGUGUCACAUGUGAUUGUAUGUACCUGGUCUGAACAUGUGAAACUGCAUCUACUGGCAAUGAAGAGUUAUGCAUGCAGUUGCUUUCACCAACGGUUCACCUUGUCAACGACAUGGGUGCCUUUCUGUGUGACCCGUCUUGAAACACGGACCAAGGAGUCUAGGCAGUAUGCAAGCUUGGGGGUGACAAACUCUGAGCACAAUGAAGCUGGAGUCCCGGA